UGGGGAAUAUUGGACAAUGGGGGAAACCCUGAUCCAGCCAUGCCGCGUGAGUGACGAAGGCCCUAGGGUUGUAAAGCUCUUUUGGCGGGGACGAUAAUGACGGUACCCGCAGAAUAAGCUCCGGCUAACUUCGUGCCAGCAGCCGCGGUAAUACGAAGGGAGCUAGCGUUGUUCGGAAUUACUGGGCGUAAAGCGCACGUAGGCGGAUAUGUAAGUCAGGGGUGAAAUCCCGGGGCUCAACCUCGGAACUGCCUUUGAUACUGCAUAUCUUGAGUCCGGAAGAGGUGAGUGGAAUUCCUAGUGUAGAGGUGAAAUUCAUAGAUAUUAGGAAGAACACCAGUGGCGAAGGCGGCUCACUGGUCCGGUACUGACGCUGAGGUGCGAAAGCGUGGGGAGCAAACAGGAUUAGAUACCCCCGUAGUCC
This 424-nucleotide ribosomal RNA is filed under the name uncultured prokaryote. Its description in RNAcentral is "bacterial SSU rRNA". It matches the Rfam family "Bacterial small subunit ribosomal RNA", at positions 355 to 796 of the family's 1533-position model. The record is from RNAcentral.